Molecule: ribosomal RNA, 937 nt
Filed under: uncultured bacterium
Lineage: Bacteria
Description: bacterial SSU rRNA
Rfam family: Bacterial small subunit ribosomal RNA
Source: RNAcentral
UUAUUGGGUUUAAGGGAGCGUAGAUGGAUGUUCAAGUCAGUUGUGAAAGUUUGCGGCUCAACCGUAAAAUUGCAGUUGAUACUGGAUGUCUUGAGUGCAGUUGAGGCAGGCGGAAUUCGUGGUGUAGCGGUGAAAUGCUUAGAUAUCACGAAGAACUCCGAUUGCGAAGGCAGCCUGCUAAGCUGCAACUGACAUUGAGGCUCGAAAGUGUGGGUAUCAAACAGGAUUAGAUACCCUGGUAGUCCACACGGUAAACGAUGAAUACUCGCUGUUUGCGAUAUACGGCAAGCGGCCAAGCGAAAGCGUUAAGUAUUCCACCUGGGGAGUACGCCGGCAACGGUGAAACUCAAAGGAAUUGACGGGGGCCCGCACAAGCGGAGGAACAUGUGGUUUAAUUCGAUGAUACGCGAGGAACCUUACCCGGGCUUAAAUUGCACUCGAAUGAUCCGGAAACGGUUCAGCUAGCAAUAGCGAGUGUGAAGGUGCUGCAUGGUUGUCGUCAGCUCGUGCCGUGAGGUGUCGGCUUAAGUGCCAUAACGAGCGCAACCCUUGUUGUCAGUUACUAACAGGUGAUGCUGAGGACUCUGACAAGACUGCCAUCGUAAGAUGUGAGGAAGGUGGGGAUGACGUCAAAUCAGCACGGCCCUUACGUCCGGGGCUACACACGUGUUACAAUGGGGGGUACAGAGGGCCGCUACCACGCGAGUGGAUGCCAAUCCCUAAAACCCCUCUCAGUUCGGACUGGAGUCUGCAACCCGACUCCACGAAGCUGGAUUCGCUAGUAAUCGCGCAUCAGCCACGGCGCGGUGAAUACGUUCCCGGGCCUUGUACACACCGCCCGUCAAGCCAUGGGAGCCGGGGGUACCUGAAGUGCGUAACCGCGAGGAUCGCCCUAGGGUAAAACUGGUGACUGGGCUAAGUCGUAACAAGGUAGCCG